Molecule: ribosomal RNA, 274 nt
Filed under: uncultured prokaryote
Description: partial 16S ribosomal RNA
Rfam family: Bacterial small subunit ribosomal RNA
Source: RNAcentral
UACGUAGGUGGCAAGCGUUGUCCGGAAUUAUUGGGCGUAAAGCGCGCGCAGGCGGUUCCUUAAGUCUGAUGUGAAAGCCCACGGCUCAACCGUGGAGGGUCAUUGGAAACUGGGGGACUUGAGUGCAGAAGAGGAGAGCGGAAUUCCACGUGUAGCGGUGAAAUGCGUAGAGAUGUGGAGGAACACCAGUGGCGAAGGCGGCUCUCUGGUCUGUAACUGACGCUGAGGCGCGAAAGCGUGGGGAGCAAACAGGAUUAGAUACCCCGGGUAGUCC